GAUGAACGCUGGCGGCGUGCCUAAUACAUGCAAGUCGAGCGAGCAGACGAGGAGCUUGCUCCUCUGACGUUAGCGGCGGACGGGUGAGUAACACGUGGAUAACCUACCUAUAAGACUGGGAUAACUUCGGGAAACCGGAGCUGAUACCGGAUAAUAUAUUGAACCGCAUGGUUCAAUAGUGAAAGACGGUUUUGCUGUCACUUAUAGAUGGAUCCGCGCCGCAUUAGCUAGUUGGUAAGGUAACGGCUUACCAAGGCAACGAUGCGUAGCCGACCUGAGAGGGUGAUCGGCCACACUGGAACUGAGACACGGUCCAGACUCCUACGGGAGGCAGCAGUAGGGAAUCUUCCGCAAUGGGCGAAAGCUUGACGGAGCAACGCCGCGUGAGUGAUGAAGGUCUUCGGAUCGUAAAACUCUGUUAUUAGGGAAGAACAAAUGUGUAAGUAACUAUGCACGUCUUGACGGUACCUAAUCAGAAAGCCACGGCUAACUACGUG
This 497-nucleotide ribosomal RNA is filed under the name uncultured bacterium. Its description in RNAcentral is "partial 16S ribosomal RNA". It matches the Rfam family "Bacterial small subunit ribosomal RNA", at positions 28 to 507 of the family's 1533-position model. The record is from RNAcentral.